This 1502-nucleotide ribosomal RNA is filed under the name Klebsiella pneumoniae. RNAcentral's name for it is "bacterial SSU rRNA". It matches the Rfam family "Bacterial small subunit ribosomal RNA". The record is from RNAcentral. Lineage: Bacteria; Pseudomonadati; Pseudomonadota; Gammaproteobacteria; Enterobacterales; Enterobacteriaceae.
AGAGUUUGAUCAUGGCUCAGAUUGAACGCUGGCGGCAGGCCUAACACAUGCAAGUCGAGCGGUAGCACAGAGAGCUUGCUCUCGGGUGACGAGCGGCGGACGGGUGAGUAAUGUCUGGGAAACUGCCUGAUGGAGGGGGAUAACUACUGGAAACGGUAGCUAAUACCGCAUAACGUCGCAAGACCAAAGUGGGGGACCUUCGGGCCUCAUGCCAUCAGAUGUGCCCAGAUGGGAUUAGCUAGUAGGUGGGGUAACGGCUCACCUAGGCGACGAUCCCUAGCUGGUCUGAGAGGAUGACCAGCCACACUGGAACUGAGACACGGUCCAGACUCCUACGGGAGGCAGCAGUGGGGAAUAUUGCACAAUGGGCGCAAGCCUGAUGCAGCCAUGCCGCGUGUGUGAAGAAGGCCUUCGGGUUGUAAAGCACUUUCAGCGGGGAGGAAGGCGNCGAUUGACGUUACCCGCAGAAGAAGCACCGGCUAACUCCGUGCCAGCAGCCGCGGUAAUACGGAGGGUGCAAGCGUUAAUCGGAAUUACUGGGCGUAAAGCGCACGCAGGCGGUCUGUCAAGUCGGAUGUGAAAUCCCCGGGCUCAACCUGGGAACUGCAUUCGAAACUGGCAGGCUAGAGUCUUGUAGAGGGGGGUAGAAUUCCAGGUGUAGCGGUGAAAUGCGUAGAGAUCUGGAGGAAUACCGGUGGCGAAGGCGGCCCCCUGGACAAAGACUGACGCUCAGGUGCGAAAGCGUGGGGAGCAAACAGGAUUAGAUACCCUGGUAGUCCACGCCGUAAACGAUGUCGAUUUGGAGGUUGUGCCCUUGAGGCGUGGCUUCCGGAGCUAACGCGUUAAAUCGACCGCCUGGGGAGUACGGCCGCAAGGUUAAAACUCAAAUGAAUUGACGGGGGCCCGCACAAGCGGUGGAGCAUGUGGUUUAAUUCGAUGCAACGCGAAGAACCUUACCUGGUCUUGACAUCCACAGAACUUNNNNUUGGUGCCUUCGGGAACUGUGAGACAGGUGCUGCAUGGCUGUCGUCAGCUCGUGUUGUGAAAUGUUGGGUUAAGUCCCGCAACGAGCGCAACCCUUAUCCUUUGUUGCCAGCGGUCCGGCCGGGAACUCAAAGGAGACUGCCAGUGAUAAACUGGAGGAAGGUGGGGAUGACGUCAAGUCAUCAUGGCCCUUACGACCAGGGCUACACACGUGCUACAAUGGCAUAUACAAAGAGAAGCGACCUCGCGAGAGCAAGCGGACCUCAUAAAGUAUGUCGUAGUCCGGAUUGGAGUCUGCAACUCGACUCCAUGAAGUCGGAAUCGCUAGUAAUCGUAGAUCAGAAUGCUACGGUGAAUACGUUCCCGGGCCUUGUACACACCGCCCGUCACACCAUGGGAGUGGGUUGCAAAAGAAGUAGGUAGCUUAACCUUCGGGAGGGCGCUUACCACUUUGUGAUUCAUGACUGGGGUGAAGUCGUAACAAGGUAACCGUAGGGGAACCUGCGGUUGGAUCACCU